UACGGAGGGUGCAAGCGUUGCUCGGAAUUACUGGGCGUAAAGCGUACGCUGGCUGUUCGUUAAGUCGGGUGUGAAAUCCCGGGGCUCAACCCCGGAAUUGCGCCCGAAACUGACGAGCUUGAGUGCGGGAGAGGGAAGCGGAAUUCCUGGUGUAGAGGUGAAAUUCGUAGAUAUCAGGAGGAACACCAAUUGCGAAGGCAGCUCGCUGGGACGUUACUGACGCUGAGACGCGAAAGCGUGGGGAGCAAACAGG
RNAcentral lists this ribosomal RNA (253 nucleotides) under uncultured bacterium. RNAcentral's name for it is "partial 16S ribosomal RNA". It matches the Rfam family "Bacterial small subunit ribosomal RNA", at positions 524 to 776 of the family's 1533-position model. The record is from RNAcentral.